UGAUGGUCAAAACUGAACCCUGUUAAUUUAAAAAGCAAACUUUACUGAUAGAAUGAAGAUUGAAGAAAUAGAUUGAGCAUAUUAGAAUUGACUGACAACCAAGAAUUGGUUGUGCUAACAACACUGAGGGUCCUGGUAAAUAAAUCAAAAUAUAAAUCCACGAAGGCAUCCACUAAGAAUCGGCCCUGAGGUUCAUCAUAAAAGGAUCUGAAUACUCAGGAUGAAAAGUAAACCCAUCUGCAGUUUUUUUAUGGUCAUCCUAACAUUUCCUGUCAAUGCAGAGAACUACCAGCCAUCACAAAUGUGUGAAUCAGCAUAGACCAAAAGUUUCCAUCUGAAAAAUCCACCAGGUAUUAGUUUCCAGAAAAUGUUAAGAGAUUGUUUUUAAGAUAGUAUUUGAUAAUGUAGACACGAUUAUUUCUUCCUUCAGUUUUGGGCCUGAAGAACAUCUCUAAUGUUUAGCUAAU
Ailuropoda melanoleuca (giant panda) is the source of this 467-nucleotide long non-coding RNA. RefSeq lists it as uncharacterized. The transcript is spliced from 3 exons. NCBI's taxonomy places the organism in Eukaryota, Metazoa, Chordata, Mammalia, Carnivora, Ursidae. The record is from RefSeq and is a predicted model, not a curated record.